This is a non-coding RNA of Pelobates cultripes (western spadefoot toad), 253 nucleotides long. Lineage: Eukaryota; Metazoa; Chordata; Amphibia; Anura; Pelobatidae. The record is from the annotation of a GenBank genome assembly.
GAAACGUUGCUCCCCAAUCAUGAAUGGCCAAUUUCUUCCAGCAAUAAAUAUUUAUCUGUAAAAUUUACACAAAACAAAAACCAACAAAUCUUUUUCAUUCAAUACCACACUUCAACAGAAAUGCUUCAAACCGAUCACAGUAAGGCUGCUUAUUAAUUAUUUCUUUUGAAUAUUACAUGAUAUAUUUCUGUAUUUUUAUGUGAUAGUGAUGAUUCGUCUUGUUGUUUACUGAGUUACCUUCAGUAACAAAAAU